This 72-nucleotide non-coding RNA is filed under the name Cavia aperea (Brazilian guinea pig). Lineage: Eukaryota; Metazoa; Chordata; Mammalia; Rodentia; Caviidae. The record is from RNAcentral.
NNNUCUUGGGCCUGACAACAUGCAUAUGGUUAAGGCAUUGCCAUCUACUUCAUGGCAUCUAACCACUUUUUU